GCGGGGCCGGGCGGGUCUCAGCAGCCGGGCCCGUCGUCGGCUGGCCGUCGGCCCCGGCGCCACCCGCGGUCGCCUCGCGGGCACCGCG
Molecule: transfer RNA, 88 nt
Filed under: Micromonospora gifhornensis
Lineage: Bacteria; Bacillati; Actinomycetota; Actinomycetes; Micromonosporales; Micromonosporaceae
Description: tRNA-Asp
Source: RNAcentral